ACUGGGAGAGCAGAAGUCUAACUUACUUUGUGGUCUGGGACUUUAUUUUGGCAGAUUUGUUGCUUGGGUUUUUUCUUUUUGUAACUCAGUGGUGAUUGAAGUAUUGAGUCUGAAUCACACCAUCUUCCCAGAGCUAAUCAAGAUCAACGCUGCCCGGAUCAAUACAGUGACUAAAUCAGAUUUCCCCCAAAAAGUACAGCGGAGCCAUUACAGGAAAUCUCCAAAGGCAGCAAAAUCAUUUCUUGAAGCUCCCAGCUCUCCAGAACCACUCACACCAGUGGCACUGAUGGCAAUGUGGAGAGAGGCUUUUCAGGAUUUCUGACAAAUGAUUCCUUCAGAGUCUGGACACUUCUAUUGCCCACCACAAUUAAAUAUUCAUUAGACUUGGGAGACAUCAACCUCACCUUCAGCAGCUCGAAAGAGCAACCCAGGAAAUCUAAACAGUUUAGCUGCUCCUGCAUAUAAUCAUAUAA
This is a long non-coding RNA of Pogoniulus pusillus (Red-fronted tinkerbird), 473 nucleotides long. RefSeq lists it as uncharacterized. NCBI's taxonomy places the organism in Eukaryota, Metazoa, Chordata, Aves, Piciformes, Lybiidae. The transcript is spliced from 2 exons. The record is from RefSeq and is a predicted model, not a curated record.